This 253-nucleotide ribosomal RNA is filed under the name uncultured bacterium. Its description in RNAcentral is "partial 16S ribosomal RNA". It matches the Rfam family "Bacterial small subunit ribosomal RNA", at positions 524 to 776 of the family's 1533-position model. The record is from RNAcentral.
UACGAGGGGGGCGAGCGUUGUUCGGAAUUACUGGGCGUAAAGCGUGCGCAGGCGGUUAUAUAAGUCAGAUGUGAAAUCCCCGGGCUCAACCUGGGAAUGGCAUUUGAGACUGUAUGGCUAGAGUGUGUCAGAGGGGGGUAGAAUUCCACGUGUAGCAGUGAAAUGCGUAGAGAUGUGGAGGAAUACCGAUGGCGAAGGCAGCCCCCUGGGAUAACACUGACGCUCAUGCACGAAAGCGUGGGGAGCAAACAGG